RNAcentral lists this ribosomal RNA (497 nucleotides) under uncultured bacterium. RNAcentral describes it as "partial 16S ribosomal RNA". It matches the Rfam family "Bacterial small subunit ribosomal RNA", at positions 28 to 507 of the family's 1533-position model. The record is from RNAcentral.
GAUGAACGCUGGCGGCGUGCCUAAUACAUGCAAGUCGAGCGAACAGACGAGGAGCUUGCUCCUCUGACGUUAGCGGCGGACGGGUGAGUAACACGUGGAUAACCUACCUAUAAGACUGGGAUAACUUCGGGAAACCGGAGCUAAUACCGGAUAAUAUAUUGAACCGCAUGGUUCAAUAGUGAAAGACGGUUUUGCUGUCACUUAUAGAUGGAUCCGCGCCGCAUUAGCUAGUUGGUAAGGUAACGGCUUACCAAGGCGACGAUGCGUAGCCGACCUGAGAGGGUGAUCGGCCACACUGGAACUGAGACACGGUCCAGACUCCUACGGGAGGCAGCAGUAGGGAAUCUUCCGCAAUGGGCGAAAGCCUGACGGAGCAACGCCGCGUGAGUGAUGAAGGUCUUCGGAUCGUAAAACUCUGUUAUUAGGGAAGAACAAAUGUGUAAGUAACUAUGCACGUCUUGAAGGUACCUAAUCAGAAAGCCACGGCUAAAUAAGUG